RNAcentral lists this long non-coding RNA (1156 nucleotides) under Amazona collaria (yellow-billed parrot). RNAcentral describes it as "lncRNA (ENSACOG00000006185.1)". The record is from RNAcentral. Lineage: Eukaryota; Metazoa; Chordata; Aves; Psittaciformes; Psittacidae.
CUCCAACCUCAGCGCCCCACUCAGUGAGCUCCCUCCCGCAGCUCUUCCUCCUCUUCCCCGCAGCUCUGGGCACGGCAGGGGACGGGAACGCCGGGCUCCGUCACUCCGGUGGGGUUAUGUGUGUAGCAGUGGCUUCACCAUCCGUCCCAGCGAUUUGUUGUCUUAUAUUUAGCCAAACAGUCUCAGUUUGCCAAAAAUAGAGCAGCCAUGGAAAUAGGCUGACUGGAGGUGCCAACGCUGCCUGGCUGAAGCUAAUUAGUUUCUUCUAUCCCCAGCUCUAUGCAUCCUCACCUUCCCCCUACGGAGCAUCCUGUCUGCCCGAAGAGUGUUUGUAAUUAGUGGGUAUUAUGCCUAAAUCUGGGGGAUGCGCAGGAGGUUUCGUGUGGAGGGGGAAAGCAGAGGGAUGCCCCCGGGACACCUCGGCAAGGAAGGAACAAAAUCCAUCUCCACAGAGUAUGGAGAGUGGGAAGGUGGAGAACACAGAGCUGGUGAGGAAGAGGAAAGGGGGCACAAAGUCUCUGCAGGAAACCCUAUUGCAGGGAAGCAUAUAGGAGCUUCUCAUACAGGAUUUUCUCCUUCCCAGCAUGUGGGAGCCUCGGUGGACUUGCUGACUCUCAUUUCUUAUAUUGGAACCAUCAAGCUUGCUGGGAGACACUUGGAAGAACAGGCUGUCCCAUGGCAACACCGAGCCCAGACCUGAAGCCCUGAGUAAUGCUCCUCUGCUCUGUGACUGGGGUCAAGCGUCUGCUACCAGCUCUUCAGUCAGCGCAAUCAAGGAGCACGUGAGCGAGGGCCCAGCUGAGCUCACAGGGCUCAGUGGGCUGGAACUGCCCCUGCAGAGCUCGGGCCUGAGGCACAUUGCCCCGGCUGGGGCACGAUGACUGCAGCGGGGGUGAGAGCCAUCCUCGGUGACCCAGGGCGAGCAGUUCUUUGUGGAGGAGCAGCAAAGGGAAGACCCAGAGGCCCUCCCCUAACCCUGGUCAAUGAGUACCUGGUCAUGUGUGCUGCAGAGCCAGCGCAGCUCGGGGUGACGUUACCAUCACGCUCCCUUCAUGCCACUGGCUGCAGGAACCAGCAUGUUUCCCGCAGGCUCUGGCAUGGCUCUGGCUUCCAUCCUUGCCCAUCUCCUCGAGUUAAAGGGGAGAUGUCUCCAGGA